ACGUAGGUGGCAAGCGUUGUCCGGAUUUACUGGGCGUAAAGCGCACGCAGGUGGCCUAUCAAGUCUGGGGUGAAAUCUCCUGGCUCAACCAGGAGAGGUCUCUGGAUACUGGUAGGCUUGAGGGCAGCAGAGGAGAGCAGAAUUCCCGGUGUAGCGGUGAUAUGCGUAGAUAUCGGGAGGAAUACCAGUGGCGAAGGCGGCUCUCUGGGCUGUCCCUGACGCUGAGGUGCGAAAGCGUGGGGAGCAAACCGGA
This 253-nucleotide ribosomal RNA is filed under the name uncultured prokaryote. Its description in RNAcentral is "partial 16S ribosomal RNA". It matches the Rfam family "Bacterial small subunit ribosomal RNA", at positions 525 to 777 of the family's 1533-position model. The record is from RNAcentral.